AAAAAGGCUCCUUUAGGGCGUAGACAUUCGCUAAGAACGGAUUUCACGAAAUUCAACCCCUAAGGGGGUUAAACGGGGGUUGGAAGUUUGUAUGAAAGUCCUAUGUUUUUGAAUUAAGAAACUUGAAAUUUAAAAUGUAUGCUCUAUAGAUGGUGAGGAGGUGUCCAAAUAAUGUAUCUUUAGAAAUCAACUCCCUUUUGGGGUUAAAACGGGGGAUGGUAGGUUGACUCACUCAUCACGAAAUCUCCGAAACUAUAACAGCUACAAACUUGAAAUUUGGCAAAAAGGCUCCUUGUAGGGCGUAGACAUUCGCUAAGAACGGAUUUCACGAAAUUCAACCCCUAAAGGGGUAAAACGGGGGUUGAAAGUUUGUAUGAAAGUCCUAUGUUUUUGAAUUAAGAGACUUGAAAUUUAAAAUGUAUGCUCUAUAGAUGGUGAGGAGGUGUCCAAAUAAUGCAUCGUAAUCUAUAUAUAUAUAUAAGAGAAAGGUCACUGACUCACUCAUCACGAGAACCCAAAAACUGCUGGAGGGUCCAUCCAUCCAGGAUGGAUAAAGAUGAAAUUUGGCAGAGAGGUAGAUUAUAGUUAGUAGACG
Molecule: unclassified non-coding RNA, 595 nt
Filed under: Melitaea cinxia (Glanville fritillary)
Lineage: Eukaryota; Metazoa; Arthropoda; Insecta; Lepidoptera; Nymphalidae
Description: misc RNA ENSMCXG00005004712.1
Source: RNAcentral